Poecilia reticulata (guppy) is the source of this 1149-nucleotide non-coding RNA. The record is from RefSeq and is a predicted model, not a curated record. Lineage: Eukaryota; Metazoa; Chordata; Actinopteri; Cyprinodontiformes; Poeciliidae.
GCGGCUGUCCCUUCUGCUGCGCGUCUGGAUGCAGUGCGCAGCUCUGACGCGCAGGAAGGAACAGACAGAGCGGAAGAAGUCCCACUCAGCGCCGAGAAGUUCACCGAAGCGUUGCUACCAGCAGACCGCCGUUUAUUUGUACUAAUACUGAUCCGUUUAGAUCCCAUCAAUCUUCACCAUGUGGCCAUAAGAUUUGUCAUGUUGAUGAUCAGAGAUGCAACCAUUUAUCUGCUUCCAGAUUGAGGUGAUGGAUUGCAGCUUUUUUUUUAUUUUUAAAGAACAUCCCUAAAUGCUGAUUUGUCAUGUUGGUGAUCAGAGACGCAACCAUUUAUCUGCUUCCAGAUUGAGGUGAUGGGUUGCAGCUUUUUGUAAAUCCUGGUGUCUGGAACGAUUGAGCGAGUGCACAUUUGUGAAAGAAUGGGUCGCUGUCGGGAGCUCGGUGAAUUCCAGCGUGGAACUGUGAUAGGAUGCCACCGGUGCAACAAAUCCAGUCGUGAAAUUUCCUCGCUCCUAAAUAUUACGCAGUCAACUGCCAGCCGUGUUGUAAGAAAAUGGAAGCGUUUGGGAAUGACGGCAACUCUGAAUGCUUCAGCGUACCAAGACAUUUUGGACAUUUCCACGCUUCCGACUUUGUUGGGAGCUGGCCCCUUCCUCUUCUACCAUGACUGUUCAUCAGUCCAUCAGUGGUUGGCAGAGGGUGGUGUGGAUGAACUUGACUGCCCUGCACAGAGUCCUGACCUCAACCCGAUAGAACACCUUUGGGAUGAAUUAGAGCAGAGACCGAGCACCAGACCUUCUCGUCCAAAUGUGCUUCUGGAGUAACGGUCAAAAAUUCCCAUAAACGCACUCAUAGAGCUUCACCUCCCAAAAGAGGUGAAGCUGUUUUAGCUGCAAUGGGAGGACAGUCAUUGAAUCCUAUGGAUUAGGAAUGGGAUGUCACUUAAACUCAUAUGUGAGUCGAGACAGGUGAGCCAAUAGUUUUGGCAAUAUAGUGUAUUACAACUCUGUAAGUUUAAGUUAAGGCUGCUGUUAAAUUGAUACUCAAGUUAUUUCUUAUUUUAUAGCUUGUGUGAAAAUGCAUGCUUCUAUUUGCUUUUCACUUUGCUGCUGCAGGACAAUAAAGUACAUUUCUAUUUCUAAAAUGCUUUU